Molecule: non-coding RNA, 94 nt
Organism: Notechis scutatus (mainland tiger snake)
Lineage: Eukaryota; Metazoa; Chordata; Lepidosauria; Squamata; Elapidae
Source: RefSeq, a predicted model, not a curated record
UUUACCUAUGUAAGCUGUAUUGUUUGACUAAAGAACUUUGGCUUGCUUGCUUAAUGACUUCUUCCUUUCCUUAAAACUUAUGGCUUGGUUGUUU